UUAAGUGACUAAGCGUACACGGUGGAUGCCUGGGCAGUCAGAGGCGAUGAAGGACGUACUAACUUGCGAUAAGCGCAGAUAAGGCAGUAAGAGCCGUUUGAGUCUGCGAUUUCCGAAUGGGGAAACCCAACUGCAUAAGCAGUUACUGUUAACUGAAUACAUAGGUUAACAGAGCAAACCGGGGGAACUGAAACAUCUAAGUACCCCGAGGAGAAGAAAUCAACCGAGAUUCCGGUAGUAGCGGCGAGCGAACCUGGAUUAGCCCUUAAGCACUCGGUGAAGUAGGUGAACAAGCUGGAAAGCUUGGCGAUACAGGGUGAUAGCCCCGUAACCGACGCUUCAUCGAGCGUGAAAUCGAGUAGGGCGGGACACGUGAUAUCCUGUCUGAAUAUGGGGGGACCAUCCUCCAAGGCUAAAUACUCCUGACUGACCGAUAGUGAACCAGUACCGUGAGGGAAAGGCGAAAAGAACCCCUGUGAGGGGAGUGAAAUAGAACCUGAAACCGUGUACGUACAAGCAGUAGGAGCACCUUCGUGGUGUGACUGCGUACCUUUUGUAUAAUGGGUCAGCGACUUAUAUUCAGUGGCAAGGUUAACCGUAUAGGGGAGCCGUAGCGAAAGCGAGUCUUAACUGGGCGCUCAGUCUCUGGAUAUAGACCCGAAACCGGGUGAUCUAGCCAUGGGCAGGUUGAAGGUUGAGUAACAUCAACUGGAGGACCGAACCGACUAAUGUUGAAAAAUUAGCGGAUGACUUGUGGCUAGGGGUGAAAGGCCAAUCAAACUCGGAGAUAGCUGGUUCUCCCCGAAAGCUAUUUAGGUAGCGCCUCGGACGAAUACUACUGGGGGUAGAGCACUGUUAAGGCUAGGGGGUCAUCCCGACUUACCAACCCUUUGCAAACUCCGAAUACCAGUAAGUACUAUCCGGGAGACACACGGCGGGUGCUAACGUCCGUCGUGGAGAGGGAAACAACCCAGACCGCCAGCUAAGGUCCCAAAGUAUUGCUAAGUGGGAAACGAUGUGGGAAGGCUCAGACAGCUAGGAUGUUGGCUUAGAAGCAGCCAUCAUUUAAAGAAAGCGUAAUAGCUCACUAGUCGAGUCGGCCUGCGCGGAAGAUGUAACGGGGCUAAGCAAUACACCGAAGCUGCGGCAAUGUCUUUUAGACAUUGGGUAGGGGAGCGUUCUGUAAGCCGUUGAAGGUGAAUCGUAAGGUUUGCUGGAGGUAUCAGAAGUGCGAAUGCUGACAUGAGUAACGACAAAGGGGGUGAAAAACCUCCUCGCCGGAAGACCAAGGGUUCCUGUCCAACGUUAAUCGGGGCAGGGUGAGUCGACCCCUAAGGUGAGGCCGAAAGGCGUAAUCGAUGGGAAACGGGUUAAUAUUCCCGUACUUCUGACUAUUGCGAUGGGGGGACGGAGAAGGCUAGGUGGGCCAGGCGACGGUUGUCCUGGUUCAAGUGCGUAGGCUUGAGAGUUAGGUAAAUCCGGCUCUCUCUAAGGCUGAGACACGACGUCGAGCUACUACGGUAGUGAAGUCAUUGAUGCCAUGCUUCCAGGAAAAGCCUCUAAGCUUCAGAUAGUCAGGAAUCGUACCCCAAACCGACACAGGUGGUCGGGUAGAGAAUACCAAGGCGCUUGAGAGAACUCGGGUGAAGGAACUAGGCAAAAUGGUACCGUAACUUCGGGAGAAGGUACGCUCUUGAUGGUGAAGUCCCUCGCGGAUGGAGCUGACGAGAGUCGCAGAUACCAGGUGGCUGCAACUGUUUAUUAAAAACACAGCACUGUGCAAAAUCGCAAGAUGACGUAUACGGUGUGACGCCUGCCCGGUGCCGGAAGGUUAAUUGAUGGGGUUAGCGCAAGCGAAGCUCUUGAUCGAAGCCCCGGUAAACGGCGGCCGUAACUAUAACGGUCCUAAGGUAGCGAAAUUCCUUGUCGGGUAAGUUCCGACCUGCACGAAUGGCGUAAUGAUGGCCACGCUGUCUCCACCCGAGACUCAGUGAAAUUGAAAUCGCUGUGAAGAUGCAGUGUACCCGCGGCUAGACGGAAAGACCCCGUGAACCUUUACUACAGCUUGGCACUGAACAUUGAACCUACAUGUGUAGGAUAGGUGGGAGGCUAUGAAGACGUGACGCCAGUUGCGUUGGAGCCGUCCUUGAAAUACCACCCUUGUAUGUUUGAUGUUCUAACUUAGACCCAUUAUCUGGGUUGAGGACAGUGCCUGGUGGGUAGUUUGACUGGGGCGGUCUCCUCCCAAAGAGUAACGGAGGAGCACGAAGGUGGGCUAAUCACGGUUGGACAUCGUGAGGUUAGUGCAAUGGCAUAAGCCCGCUUAACUGCGAGAAUGACGGUUCGAGCAGGUGCGAAAGCAGGUCAUAGUGAUCCGGUGGUUCUGUAUGGAAGGGCCAUCGCUCAACGGAUAAAAGGUACUCCGGGGAUAACAGGCUGAUACCGCCCAAGAGUUCAUAUCGACGGCGGUGUUUGGCACCUCGAUGUCGGCUCAUCACAUCCUGGGGCUGAAGUCGGUCCCAAGGGUAUGGCUGUUCGCCAUUUAAAGUGGUACGCGAGCUGGGUUUAGAACGUCGUGAGACAGUUCGGUCCCUAUCUGCCGUGGGCGUUGGAAGAUUGAA
RNAcentral lists this ribosomal RNA (2621 nucleotides) under Vibrio cholerae. Its description in RNAcentral is "bacterial LSU rRNA". It matches the Rfam family "Bacterial large subunit ribosomal RNA". Lineage: Bacteria; Pseudomonadati; Pseudomonadota; Gammaproteobacteria; Vibrionales; Vibrionaceae. The record is from RNAcentral.